GAAUAUUCUCUAGUUUUCCUUUCUACUUUUUUGAAGCAAUAAAAACCCCAGAAAACCUUGUAUGCUAUGUUUUUCACAAUUCUGUAAACUGUGAAAUUUUCUUUUUCUCUAAAGAGAUUCAGAGAGCAGUUUUACAAGAAUUUCAUUUCUGGAAAAAAUCCUCAAAUGUGAAAAGGACUGAGCGGUACAAAUUCCAGAAUUUAAUACUAUGAAGAGCAUAUUCCUGUGCUCUUAUAGUUUCCACGGUUCUAAAUUCAUGCAACUUAAAACUUCUUUUGUUUCAGUUUUUUG
This 291-nucleotide long non-coding RNA is filed under the name Bos taurus (domestic cattle). RNAcentral describes it as "long non-coding RNA NONBTAT023450". Lineage: Eukaryota; Metazoa; Chordata; Mammalia; Artiodactyla; Bovidae. The record is from RNAcentral.